UCCCUUGGUCUUGACAAACUCGUAUCAACCAACAGCAAGAUAACAUUCUCUUCUUUGAUGUCCUCCGAGCAUGCAUUCAUACAUCUUCCCAUCAUCAUCUUCUAUAAGAAUCUUCUUCUGGCCUACAGGAAUGAAGUUCUCAACAAUUUUUGUAAGAAUUGGCUGCAAGAAUGAAUUUGACAUUCAAUACGUAUAAAGGAAAAAUAAUAGAUUUUAAAAUGAAAUUAUCCAAUAACUUACCAUAGUUUGUCCUUUUAGAGUUGCAGCUUCAGUUAGCACUUUUUUCCAGCUCCUGCCAUCAUCAUCAAUAAGAAUAUUGUUUUAAGGGAACUCAUUUUGUUCCUAUCGA
RNAcentral lists this long non-coding RNA (349 nucleotides) under Glycine max (soybean). RNAcentral's name for it is "long non-coding RNA (GMAX_LNC000111)". Lineage: Eukaryota; Viridiplantae; Streptophyta; Magnoliopsida; Fabales; Fabaceae. The record is from RNAcentral.